RNAcentral lists this long non-coding RNA (1370 nucleotides) under Gallus gallus (chicken). Lineage: Eukaryota; Metazoa; Chordata; Aves; Galliformes; Phasianidae. The record is from RNAcentral.
CUGGUUUUAGUUCUGUUCUUUCUCUCCUGUUCUUUGAUGGUGGUAGGUCUAUGUCCAUGGUGUCAAAAUCCAUGCCUUCAUUGAGAUCUUCAAUUCGCCCUUCUGAUGACAUCAUCACAUCUUCAACAAUUGGCUCUUCAUCAUCUUCCAUUAGACUUGUGCCACGCCGAAUAGCAUGUUGCAAGUUGGUUCUCAGCUUGACGUAGUUCAUCGCUGCCCUCUCCUGUUGUUGUCGUGCGGCUUCUUCCUGUUGCCUUUGAGCCAACAUCCACGUUACUUGCGUGUUGUAAUCAAGUGGAGCUUGGUGGUGUUCAGGCUGCAUAGGAUAGACACCCAUAUAAUUCUCUUCAGGUCGCAAUCUCUUGGGCUCCCUCAUUAUUGUGGAAGUAAGCUGAGGUGUCUGCAUCAUGACUGGUGUGUGCAUUGUCUGCUCCCUGUUCAUCCACAUACUGUCACUACUACUGCUUUCUUCAGCUUCAGGUACUUUCCGUUUCCCUGUUGCUGGCUUUGUUUUCUUAUUUCUUACUGUAGAUCCUCGACUGCUAAUUCCACUAAUUACUGACAUAGUAUCAUCAUCCCCACCAGCUAAUAAAGAGUUUCUGUAGGACAUGAGAGGAAGCCACACAUCUUCUCUUCGUAGAGACAUCUGAAAGGUCAUAAACUUCUCCAAGUAAACAUACACUGUUCUUUUGUCUUGUCUGAGAAGUUUGGAGGAAAACUCACUCAGAAUAUCAAGAAAUGCCAAAUUCAGAGGUGGGUGGCUCUCACCUUGUGGAUUAGGCUCCUUAAAGGCAAAUUCUAUGCCGUCCUUGUGUAACAUAGCAAUAGCUUCUCUUGUUUUCAACUGAUCCAGUCCAAAUGUUAAAGCAAAACGUCGAGCAAGCUCCUUUAUGCCGCUGAAUGUCGGUGAUGAUCUGUCAAAAUUAUAACCAUUUUCUUGAAUCAUUUCAUUGAAAAGCUGCUGCAAGCUAAGAAUAAGUGUUUUAGCACACUGGAUUUUGUCUAUCUGUCUUGUUUUACUCAUUGUUUCUUUAAUAAUAUCACCGUAGUCAUUGUAAUACUUCAUAUAUUGCUUGAAAAUGUCUGCAGCAGUAUUCAUUUCCACCACAGUAUAUACAAUGAGUUUACAGAAAGCUGCAAGUAGAUUUCUUCUUUUGUGCAAUGCUUCAAUUUUACUAGCUUCAUCAUCCUGCUGUCCAUCUGCACUAUUAUUAUCAUCAUCCUGAUCAAUGAAGACAUGAUCUAAAAUAAAACUGAGUAGCUCAGAUUGCAGUGAAGAAUCAGGAGUGUAAACAAGUGGUUCCAACAUGUCACGUCCUCCUGUCAUAAUCUGAUGGCUGAAGAUCAUCAACACAUCACACAGAAUUGUG